UUUGGCUGUUUCAUCUCACCAACAAUACCAAAUGGCCUGUGAGGAGUGCUACACAAACAAGCAUAACACGGAAGUCAGAGAAAGAGAUGCCCUACUCCAAGAACACCAGGAGCUCUUGGACAGUUCCGAUGUCCACGAUGAGGCCUCACCACCACCACUCAACGGCCUCAUCAGACUGGGCUACCAGACAGCAAAUGUCUUCAAAAGGGUGGAAGGAGGCGAGGCCAUAUCUCAUUGAUAACUGGCUGGCAGUAGAGGAUCAUCACCCAGAUGUCAACAGUGCAGUACCAACCCAGCUGCCGUGCGCGGUAGAAAUUGCCUUCCGUGCCCCUUCUUCUGCGCCAAUUGUGACAGAGCCAGGCAUUCCAUUUUUGUGGUCCACAAUCGGGAUGCCAUAGUUAAAGGCUUCCUACAGCCACUGCCUCGCAAUGCAGGCAUCACAGUGGUUGACGGCAGCCCUUCUCCAAACCAAUUUUUUACUGUUUUAAAGAUCACUUAUUUUAUUUGCCUUACUUGCCAUGUUGAAUAACCUUUUUUGUUAAUUGUAUUCUGAUAUCUGAUGUUUUUAUUUAGCAGGUAUUCUGCCUGUAGAGAUACUGCAAGAUUUUGACUUGUGUCCACAACAGGCAUCUAGGGCUUGUCCUGGCAGGUCUGUUAGACUUAUAACCAUGAGUGGUCAUUCGAAUUUGGCAUUGCCAGUGCUCCAUUGUGAGAACUGCAAGGAGACUGGCACAGCAGGCAUCAAAGACCUGCAAAGGAGUGGCUAUUGACCUGCUGCUGUCUUCUCAACAGACGUGAUGUCUUCAUAUGAAGAGCUGAAGAUGCUUGCGCCAGGCAUGCCACAUCAAGCAUUUUUGACAAUGCUUGACCAGAGGACAGUACGUUUUGGCAGAAUGUCAGGCUAGUCAAGGCUGAGGUCCUGAAUGUCCCAAUGGAGAAGUGCAGACAGAAAUCAGAGCUCAGCCAUUUACUCAUGGACCUGAAAAAGGAACACAUCAGCGCGAUGGACAGGAGUUUGACAAGUGAACACUCCUUCUGUAGACGAGUUCAGACAGGGAACUGAGAACUCCCAGAAAACUCUGGUGGACAUCAGGACGUAUCAUCAAGCCUGUCGAGAGAUGGAGAUUGAGAGAACUGACAUACUGACACCGCAGUCUGCUAGCCAGUCCCAGUUAGGCGGAGUACGUACAGGCCUUAGUCAGCUCCGCUAUGUCCUGGGGGAGGUGAAGGACAUCCAGAACUCCCCGGUAGACAUCAGCAAAGACUGGAGGCAAAGCAUAAACAUCAUUGAAUCCUGAAGGAUGUACAAUAUACUGGGAUGCAACACAGUCAGAUUGCUUCAGCUGUGGAGAACCUGAAGAAUAUAUUUUCAGUGCCUGAGAUGGUGGCAUACACACCUGAUAGAGCCAGCCAAGCUGCUGGAGGACCACCACAAGCUGAUGAACAUGGAGGGCUCAUGGACUGACUCGUGUACGAUUGUUACGGAUACAAGUAUUCUGUGUGUAUCCUGUGUGUAUUUCUUUUCUCUCCUACUCCCCUACUCACAGGUGACAAUCAUCAUUCCCCAAUCAGUCAUCAAUCAGUCGCUAAUCAGAAGACACCUGCUCCUUUUUUCCUACCCAAUCACAGUCCCUUUCCCUUGGUUUAAAACCCUGUCAGUUGUUUUCUCUGGAGCUUGAUCUCUUUGUGUAGCCAUCUCUCUGUAAAUGCCAUAUGUUUGUAGAUCUCUUGUGUGGUUUAGCAUCUACAUGUCACUUUGUCCCCACCUGUGAGUAUUGUGUUUGUUAUGGUGUUUGUUUGAUAGUGGGAAAAGGGGGUAACCAGACAGGUUGCCCAUUGGCAUACACUACCCGUAGGUAAACUAUGUUAAAUACACUAGUUAGAACUGGGCGGACCACCCACUGUAUUUUUGGUUAGUUAGUUAGCUGUUGUUGAAAUAGGCUAGUCUAG
Molecule: long non-coding RNA, 1950 nt
Organism: Salvelinus fontinalis (brook trout)
Lineage: Eukaryota; Metazoa; Chordata; Actinopteri; Salmoniformes; Salmonidae
Exons: 7
Source: RefSeq, a predicted model, not a curated record